RNAcentral lists this ribosomal RNA (443 nucleotides) under uncultured bacterium. RNAcentral describes it as "partial 16S ribosomal RNA". It matches the Rfam family "Bacterial small subunit ribosomal RNA", at positions 338 to 795 of the family's 1533-position model. The record is from RNAcentral.
CCUACGGGAGGCAGCAGUGGGGGAUAUUGGACAAUGGGGGGAACCCUGAUCCAGCGACGCCGCGUGAGUGAAGAAGCAUUUCGGUAUGUAAAGCUCUGUCAGCAGGGAAGAAAGCACUGACGGUACCUGACCAAGAAGCCCCGGCUAACUACGGGCCACCAGCCGCGGUAAUACGUAGGGGGCAAGCGUUAUCCGGAAUUAAUGGGUGUAAAGGGAGCGUAGAGGGGUGUGCAAGGCUGGAGUGAAAGGCGGGGGCCCAACCCCCGGACUGCUCUGGAAACUGUAUGGCUGGAGUGCAGGAGAAGUAAGCGGAAUUCCUGGUGUAGCGGUGAAAUGCGUAGAUAUUAGGAAGAACACCAGUGGCGAAGGCGGCUUACUGGAUUUUAACUGACGUUGAGGCUCGAAAGCGUGGGGAGCAAACAGGAUUAGAUACCCGGGUAGUC